Molecule: unclassified non-coding RNA, 199 nt
Filed under: soil metagenome
Description: partial contains 5.8S ribosomal RNA, internal transcribed spacer 2, and large subunit ribosomal RNA
Source: RNAcentral
AACUGAUACUACCUGCGGGAACCUGCGGAAGGAUCAUUACCUAGAGUUGCGGGCUUUGCCUGCUAUCUCUUACCCAUGUCUUUUGAGUACCUUCGUUUCCUCGGCGGGUUCGCCCGCCGAUUGGACAAUUUAAACCAUUUGCAGUUGCAAUCAGCGUCUGAAAAAACUUAAUAGUUACAACUUUCAACAACGGAUCUCU